GUGUGCAAUAGAAUUUGAACUCUUGACCUUUGAAAGAAAGAAUGAGGACUUAUCCAUUGCACCAAUUCAUAACUUGCAAAUAUUUAGAACAAAAUAAAAUUAUAGAUACUUGAAAUUUUAUAUUAAAAAAAAAGAACAAUGAUAAUAAAUUAAUUCCGAACCUAGGCAACAAUUAACGACAAUUAAGGUAAACUACUAACUCACAUAAGCAUAGACUACUCCAUCUAUUCUGGAAUUGGGAAAAAAAAAAUAAUGAACUGCUAUAUCAAUACGUAAACAUAUGAACUGCUAUAUGAAAAAAAAAAAAAAACAAUGAACUGCUAUAUGAAAAAAAACAAGUAAACAUGUUCAAGAAACAAUACCAUUGCAUGGCUACAAGUGCAUUGGACAAACACAUCCAAUUAAACCCAACCAAACACCAAAAGGCAAAAAGUAGUGUAACAAAUAGGCCAACCAAAGCAUCUUGCCUUUCGUUCGCACAAUCAAAUCUUG
RNAcentral lists this long non-coding RNA (492 nucleotides) under Salvia miltiorrhiza (redroot sage). Its description in RNAcentral is "long non-coding RNA (SMIL_LNC009421)". The record is from RNAcentral. Lineage: Eukaryota; Viridiplantae; Streptophyta; Magnoliopsida; Lamiales; Lamiaceae.